UUAAAUGCCCGAAUAGUCCUUGUGGUUUGGCAUUUUUCACCUUUAGUUCCUAACUUUCUAAAAUUACACCUAUAGUCCCCAACUUUUUCAAUUUCGUUCCCGGAUAGUCCCUGGAGUGGAUGUCAGUUAGUUUGUCCAGUUAAAUGUGUUUAAAAUGACUAAAGUACCAUUACUAAUUAAAUCUAAUAAAUUAAAACACUAAAAUAAAUAUUAUUUUUAUAGGCCCACCUUCAUUACCCCAACCCACCCCCAAUUACCUCUACUUUCAUCAACUCAUCUUCAUCUUCUUCCCUGCAUACUCUAUAGAGAGAGAACACAAAAACUUACAGAGAAAAAGAGGAUGCAGAUAGAGAGACAAGAGAGCGAUACAGAGAGGGAGAAAGAAACAUAGCCAGCAAAGAGAGCGAUAGCUAGAGGGAGAGAAGAGACAGUGGUUGUCCAUGGUGGUUGUGGCCGGAAUCAAAGUUGCAGGUUUUCCAGACGACGACGUGGGUCGCCGGACAUCAGACCCGCUUCCGAAAUCUAACUUGAAUCUCUGUUUGUUGUGUUUCUUUUGCCCUAAUUUUUCAGUUAUCAAGGUUUUAGACCAAUCUUUUUUUAGGAUUUUAGAGAAACAGAGUGUGAAGAUGAGUGUAUUAUGUAUUUUUUUCAUUAAAGCAUAAAGUUGGGAUAAUCGUUCAUAUUCUAUGAAGGGCCUAAAGUGUGACAACUCGUAACUUUGAGAUAAAGGCCCAUCUAUUUCUCUUUUAUAAAUCAAAUCUUACAGUUAUUUGAUGGAUUAAUUAUAUGCUCAUUAAAAUUCUAGUGCGUCAACGAAUAUUUGAAACCAAAUCUUUAUCGUAUUAUACCGAUCCGAACCGUUUGAACCAAAUCAUAUAUCUCGCUUGCCAACCCAACCUACUCACGCAACCCGAAACCUUAGAGGGUCAAAAGAUAGCAUGGAUACUGUACACGACAUUGUUGAUGCAUUGUGGGUAUAAAUAUAUUUAUAUUAUAAUAAUAAUAGUAAUAAUUAAAUAAAUCAACAUAAUACUUAGUCAUAAUUAUUGGUUACAAAUUUGAAGAUUUAGUUUUGGCUGUGGAACGUACUGUUCGAAACCCAAACCCCCCAGCCCACCCAGCCUGAUCUCGGCCCACACAUUCGAAUUCCUUCACCGACUCUUCUUGUUCAGCGAUUAUUUUGCAUGGUUUGCAUAUAUAUAUAUACACACAUAAUGAUCUCUACCUCUACGCAAACCCUACCUGCCGCCUCACCUGAACCGCUCCUCCUCGCCCGAAACACUACGUCGAACCAACCACUACCUUCUUCUCCGGCGAGUUCACCGGCGAACACCGGACGCGAUUGAUCAAAAGUUAUUUUAGCAAGUAGACUAUCUGCCGAGCAAAUCAAGGUGAUUACUGAAGGAACUUGGGGAGCUUGCUGUCUGAUGCUGCUGGAGUGGUUAUGGUCAUAAUAAACAGUUGUCUUGAUUUGCUUUUGAUACAUUUACACACUUAUCCGUUUAUGCUUCCGCUCAGUAUUUUGGUUUUGGUUUAACUUUCAAACAAUACAUUUUAUUGAUUUGGUAUUUACUUAUAAC
Helianthus annuus (common sunflower) is the source of this 1580-nucleotide long non-coding RNA. RefSeq lists it as uncharacterized. The transcript is spliced from 3 exons. The record is from RefSeq and is a predicted model, not a curated record. Lineage: Eukaryota; Viridiplantae; Streptophyta; Magnoliopsida; Asterales; Asteraceae.